UACGUAGGGUGCAAGCGUUAAUCGGAAUUACUGGGCGUAAAGCGUGCGCAGGCGGUUGGGCAAGACAGAUGUGAAAUCCCCGGGCUUAACCUGGGAAUGGCAUUUGUGACUGCCCGGCUAGAGUGUGUCAGAGGGGGGUAGAAUUCCACGUGUAGCAGUGAAAUGCGUAGAGAUGUGGAGGAAUACCGAUGGCGAAGGCAGCCCCCUGGGAUAACGACUGACGCUCAUGCACGAAAGCGUGGGGAGCAAACAGG
This 254-nucleotide ribosomal RNA is filed under the name uncultured bacterium. RNAcentral describes it as "partial 16S ribosomal RNA". It matches the Rfam family "Bacterial small subunit ribosomal RNA", at positions 524 to 776 of the family's 1533-position model. The record is from RNAcentral.